This 440-nucleotide ribosomal RNA is filed under the name uncultured bacterium. RNAcentral describes it as "partial 16S ribosomal RNA". It matches the Rfam family "Bacterial small subunit ribosomal RNA", at positions 338 to 795 of the family's 1533-position model. The record is from RNAcentral.
CCUACGGGUGGCAGCAGUGGGGGAUAUUGCACAAUGGGGGAAACCCUGAUGCAGCGACGCCGCGUGUAGGAAGACGGUCCUCUGGAUUGUAAACUACUGUCCCCAGGGACGAAGAUGACGGUACCUGGGGAGGAAGCUCCGGCUAACUACGUGCCAGCAGCCGCGGUAAUACGUAGGGAGCGAGGGUUGUCCGGAAUUAUUGGGUUUAAAGGGUGCGCAGGCGGAAGAUCAAGUCAGCGGUAAAAUUGUGAGGCUCAACCUCUUCGAGUCGUUGAAACUGGUUUUCGUGAGUGGGUGAGAAGUAUGCGGAAUGCGUGGUGUAGCGGUGAAAUGCAUAGAUAUCACGCAGAACUCCGAUUGCGAAGGCAGCAUACCGGCGCUCAACUGACGCUCAUGCACGAAAGUGUGGGUAUCGAACAGGAUUAGAUACCCCUGUAGUC